Molecule: ribosomal RNA, 480 nt
Filed under: Stylopandalus richardi
Lineage: Eukaryota; Metazoa; Arthropoda; Malacostraca; Decapoda; Pandalidae
Description: partial 16S ribosomal RNA
Rfam family: Archaeal large subunit ribosomal RNA
Source: RNAcentral
GUCUGACCUGCCCACUGAAAUUUAUUUGAAGGGCCGCGGUAAUUUGACCGUGCGAAGGUAGCAUAAUCAGUAGUCUUUUAAUUGAAGGCUGGAAUGAACGGUUGGACAAGGAGUUAGCUGUCUCUUUUAUUUAUCUUGAAGUUCACUUUUAAGUGAAAAGGCUUAAAUACACUUGGGGGACGAUAAGACCCUAUAAAACUUUACAGUCUAAUCUAUAUUCCGUAAAGUAGUGUGUAAUGCUGAUUAUAGGGGGUCUGUUGUGUUGGGGCGACAAAGAUAUAAUAAAGUAACUGUUAAGCGCAUGAUAUAAUAAUAAUUAGCUAAUUGAUCCUCUACUAAAGAUUAAAAGAUUAAGUUACUUUAGGGAUAACAGCGUAAUUUUCUCUGAGAGUUCUUAUCGACGAGAGUAGUUGCGACCUCGAUGUUGAAUUAAGAUUUCUUUUAAAUGUAGCAGUUUAAUUAGUGGGUCUGUUCGACCUU